GAUCCACCUAUGUCUGCCUCCUGAAUGCUGAGAUUGAAGAGUUCUGCCUAAGGUAGAGACUAUCAUCACUCCAAUUCAUAGAUGGGGAACUGAAGCUCAGAGGUCCUGAGGUCAUCACCUGGUAAAAGUAAGAGCUGAGAUUCAAACACAUGCAUGUAGCCACAGGAACCUGAACACUCCAACAAAGAAGAGCAGAA
Long non-coding RNA from Peromyscus leucopus (white-footed mouse), 197 nucleotides. RefSeq lists it as uncharacterized. The record is from RefSeq and is a predicted model, not a curated record. NCBI's taxonomy places the organism in Eukaryota, Metazoa, Chordata, Mammalia, Rodentia, Cricetidae. The transcript has 2 exons.